CGAGCGUUAUCCGGAAUUAUUGGGCGUAAAGAGCGCGCAGGUGGUUGAUUAAGUCUGAUGUGAAAGCCCACGGCUUAGCCGUGGAGGGUCAUUGGAAACUGGUCGACUUGAGUGCAGAAGAGGGAAGUGGAAUUCCAUGUGUAGCGGUGAAAUGCGUAGAGAUAUAGAGGAACACCAGUGGCGAAGGCGGCUUCCUGGUCUGUAACUGACACUGAGGCGCGAAAGCGUGGGGAGC
This 235-nucleotide ribosomal RNA is filed under the name uncultured bacterium. RNAcentral describes it as "partial 16S ribosomal RNA". It matches the Rfam family "Bacterial small subunit ribosomal RNA", at positions 535 to 769 of the family's 1533-position model. The record is from RNAcentral.